CACUCCUGCGGGAGGCAGCAGUGGGGAAUAUUGCACAAUGGGCGCAAGCCUGAUGCAGCCAUGCCGCGUGUAUGAAGAAGGCCUUCGGGUUGUAAAGUACUUUCAGCGGGGAGGAAGGCGAUAAGGUUAAUAACCUUGUUGAUUGACGUUACCCGCAGAAGAAGCACCGGCUAACUCCGUGCCAGCAGCCGCGGUAAUACGGAGGGUGCAAGCGUUAAUCGGAAUUACUGGGCGUAAAGCGCACGCAGGCGGUCUGUCAAGUCGGAUGUGAAAUCCCCGGGCUCAACCUGGGAACUGCAUUCGAAACUGGCAGGCUAGAGUCUUGUAGAGGGGGGUAGAAUUCCAGGUGUAGCGGUGAAAUGCGUAGAGAUCUGGAGGAAUACCGGCGGCGAAGGCGGCCCCCUGGACAAAGACUGACGCUCAGGUGCGAAAGCGUGGGGAGCAAACAGGAUUAGAAACCCCAGUAGUCCC
This 471-nucleotide ribosomal RNA is filed under the name uncultured organism. RNAcentral's name for it is "partial 16S ribosomal RNA". It matches the Rfam family "Bacterial small subunit ribosomal RNA", at positions 334 to 797 of the family's 1533-position model. The record is from RNAcentral.